GAUGAAGAACGUAGCGAAAUGCGAUACGUAAUGUGAAUUGCAAAUUCAGUGAAUCAUCGAGUCUUUGAACGCACAUUGCGCCCCCUGGUAUUCCGGGGGGCAUGCCUGUCCGAGCGUCAUUGCUGCCCUCAAGCACGGCUUGUGUGUUGGGCCCCGUCCUCCGAUCCCGGGGGACGGGCCCGAAAGGCAGCGGCGGCACCGCGUCCGGUCCUCGAGCGUAUGGGGCUUUGUCACCCGCUCUGUAGGCCCGGCCGGCGCUUGCCGAUCAACCCAAAUUUUUAUCCAGGUUGACCUCGGAUCAGGUAGGGAUACCCGCUGAACUUAAGCAUAUCAAUAAGCGGGAGGA
This 346-nucleotide unclassified non-coding RNA is filed under the name soil metagenome. Its description in RNAcentral is "partial contains 5.8S ribosomal RNA, internal transcribed spacer 2, and large subunit ribosomal RNA". The stretch from base 1 to 119 matches the Rfam family "5.8S ribosomal RNA", at positions 35 to 154 of the family's 154-position model. The record is from RNAcentral.